RNAcentral lists this unclassified non-coding RNA (21 nucleotides) under Mus musculus (house mouse). RNAcentral describes it as "oocyte_clustered_small_RNA2831". Lineage: Eukaryota; Metazoa; Chordata; Mammalia; Rodentia; Muridae. The record is from RNAcentral.
UAUUUUGUUGUUGCUAGGUAA